Molecule: ribosomal RNA, 497 nt
Filed under: uncultured bacterium
Lineage: Bacteria
Description: partial 16S ribosomal RNA
Rfam family: Bacterial small subunit ribosomal RNA
Source: RNAcentral
GAUGAACGCUGGCGGCGUGCCUAAUACAUGCAAGUCGAGCGAACAGACGAGGAGCUUGCUCCUUCGACGUUAGCGGCGGACGGGUGAGUAACACGUAGGUAACCUACCUAUAAGACUGGGAUAACUUCGGGAAACCGGAGCUAAUACCGGAUAAUAUUUCGAACCGCAUGGUUCGAUAGUGAAAGAUGGCUUUGCUAUCACUUAUAGAUGGACCUGCGCCGUAUUAGCUAGUUGGUAAGGUAACGGCUUACCAAGGCAACGAUACGUAGCCGACCUGAGAGGGUGAUCGGCCACACUGGAACUGAGACACGGUCCAGACUCCUACGGGAGGCAGCAGUAGGGAAUCUUCCGCAAAGGGCGAAAGCCUGACGGAGCAACGCCGCGGGAGUGAUGAAGGUCUUCGGAUCGUAAAACUCUGUUAUUAGGGAAGAACAAACGUGUAAGUAACUGUGCACGUCUUGACGGUACCUAAUCAGAAAGCCACGGCUAACUACGUG